UGAAUGGUGGCCCAGAUAUGUACAUGUCCUAAUCCCUGGAACCUUAUCUUUGUCUCCUUGGGCUGCCAUAACGGAACACCACAGACAGGUGGCUUGAACCUCAGAAAUUUGUUUCUCACCGUUUUCAAAGCUGGGAAGUCCAAAGUUAAGGUGCCAGCAAGAUGCUCUGGCAGCCCGUAAGGAAACGUGUUUUUUUGAAAGCACCUGGCAGAGGCGUCAUGGAUGGAGCUGAGCUGCUAGAAAGACCCCAUUUCUCAAACCCAGCUUUCUACAAGGAAUUAUUCAAAGGGAACCCUUAUCAAGCAGCCUUCCAGCUCGGUGUCAUCCAUCUUCUAAAGAGUGCUGGGAAUGAUGGAAGCUGCCCUCCCAAGAUCCAGAGCUCAGGCUCCCAAGUGAUGUGAGACUCACAGCUCUCCAGAGCCACUUCCUGGGGAAAAUCCUUCUGCCUCUGCCCUAGCUACGGAUGCGCCCUCACCCCAAGCGGCUGUACCUCCUAUGGGGAGAGUCAGAACCAGAGACCCA
This is a long non-coding RNA of Ailuropoda melanoleuca (giant panda), 522 nucleotides long. RefSeq lists it as uncharacterized. The transcript is spliced from 3 exons. The record is from RefSeq and is a predicted model, not a curated record. NCBI's taxonomy places the organism in Eukaryota, Metazoa, Chordata, Mammalia, Carnivora, Ursidae.